Molecule: transfer RNA, 75 nt
Filed under: Candidatus Acetothermia bacterium
Lineage: Bacteria; Candidatus Bipolaricaulota
Also listed under: 3 other names
Description: tRNA-Gly
Rfam family: tRNA
About the family: Transfer RNA (tRNA) molecules are approximately 80 nucleotides in length.
Source: RNAcentral
GCGGGAGUAGCUCAACGGUAGAGCACUGGCCUUCCAAGCCAGGGGCUGCGGGUUCGAUUCCCGUCUUCCGCUCCA